GUCCUCUUAGUUAAAUGGAUAUAACAAGGUCCUCCUAAGACUUAGUUGCUGGUUCAAUUCCGGCAGGGGACG
Transfer RNA from Enterococcus saccharolyticus, 72 nucleotides. It matches the Rfam family "tRNA". From Rfam's summary of the family: Transfer RNA (tRNA) molecules are approximately 80 nucleotides in length. The record is from Rfam. Lineage: Bacteria; Bacillati; Bacillota; Bacilli; Lactobacillales; Enterococcaceae.